This 253-nucleotide ribosomal RNA is filed under the name uncultured bacterium. RNAcentral describes it as "partial 16S ribosomal RNA". It matches the Rfam family "Bacterial small subunit ribosomal RNA", at positions 524 to 776 of the family's 1533-position model. The record is from RNAcentral.
UACGUAGGGUGCGAGCGUUAAUCGGAAUUACUGGGCGUAAAGCGUGCGCAGGCGGUCUUUUAAGCCAGAUGUGAAAUCCCCGGGCUUAACCUGGGGACUGCGUUUGGAACUGGAAGGCUAGAGUACGGCAGAGGGGGGUGGAAUUCCACGUGUAGCAGUGAAAUGCGUAGAGAUGUGGAGGAACACCGAUGGCGAAGGCAGCCCCCUGGGCCUGUACUGACGCUCAUGCAAGAAAGCGUGUGGAGCAAACAGG